AACGAACGCUGGCGGCAUGCCUAACACAUGCAAGUCGAACGAGGCCUUCGGGUCUAGUGGCGCACGGGUGCGUAACGCGUGGGAACCUGCCUUUAGGUUCGGAAUAACAGUGAGAAAUUACUGCUAAUACCGGAUGAUGUCUUCGGACCAAAGAUUUAUCGCCUUUAGAUGGGCCCGCGUUGGAUUAGCUAGUUGGUGGGUAAAGCCUACCAAGGCGACGAUCCAUAGCUGGUCUGAGAGGAUGAUCAGCCACACUGGGACUGAGACACGGCCCAGACUCCUACGGGAGGCAGCAGUGGGGAAUAUUGGACAAUGGGCGAAAGCCUGAUCCAGCAAUGCCGCGUGAGUGAUGAAGGCCUUAGGGUGUAAAGCUCUUUUACCCGAGAUGAUAAUGACAGUAUCGGGAGAAUAAGCUCCGGCUAACUCCGUG
RNAcentral lists this ribosomal RNA (430 nucleotides) under uncultured bacterium. Its description in RNAcentral is "bacterial SSU rRNA". It matches the Rfam family "Bacterial small subunit ribosomal RNA", at positions 29 to 507 of the family's 1533-position model. The record is from RNAcentral.